AUGGGAUGGAGUUGAUGUUUAUCAUAGCCACCAACUGUUGGCACAGGAAAGAGGGUCUUGCCAUGUAGCCUGAACUUGGGAACGUUCCUGGCUGAGCCCCUUUAAAUAGUAAGCACAGCAAAAGAGAACUAGAAGCUGAUUCCUUAUCUUCCUCUUUUCACCCCAAAAUGUAGAGGGCAUUUCCCUUCUGGUCUUGUCCUCCACAUGAGCCAGCUCCUGUGAGAACUUUAGCCUUGGAGAUGGGGUUCAGCUGGGCUGUUCACCAAGACAGGCACCUGCUGCCAAUUCUCCUCGGUGAGAUUCACAGAUUUAUACGGGAGAAAGAUGGGUCAUCACCACAUAAACAAAUGCCCUUCUCUUGUAUAUCACUGGCUUCCCAUUAUCUUCAGCAUGAAAUCUUAACUUCUUAACGGUCAUGGACACAAGAUGUCAGCUCUGCCGAUCUCUUUCUACUUCUCCCCAACUCUAUGCAUCCUCUCAUUUACUAUGCUUCGAUCUCACUGGCCUUUCUAUGCCCUUGGACCUUCUCAAUUGAUGAAGAUCAAAUGGUCAUAAAGGCCUUCAACAGAGCUGCAGAGAUAUAACUAGGCAGCUGAGCGAGUACUGGCCAUCAAUUCUGAUAAGUAUAUUGACUGGUGUCUGGUCACCUACAGAGAUACUUCUGUCCCCUAGAGUUUGGGACAUAAACUUACCAGGAAUCCACUGUGAUGACCCACAAAUUUACACAUGAGAGUUAAAUCUGAUCAUGUCAUCACUUGGUGUAAUGAAAAACUGUUUAAAAAAAAAACACAAUUAAAUAUGAGUGGGAACCAGGCAGUUUCCUUAGACCUCAGGAUAAAUACUUUGUGAAGACAUUCUAAAUGUCAAUGA
This 870-nucleotide long non-coding RNA is filed under the name Mus pahari (shrew mouse). Its description in RNAcentral is "lncRNA (MGP_PahariEiJ_G0002171.1)". Lineage: Eukaryota; Metazoa; Chordata; Mammalia; Rodentia; Muridae. The record is from RNAcentral.